CAGACACACAACCAGAAGCACUGCACUCCAACAAUGAAUGCCCCACUUCCAGAAAUCAUGUGUCCAGCUUGGAUGGCCGAACACUUCACAGUCCAGUGGAUGAGACAGUCAGGUAUCCAGGCAACGACAAUAUAAGAAAUGAUGGCAGGCGCUCCCUACAGCAUGUCAGAUGAGGACUCCCUUCACAUUUGGCUGUCAUCUAUCAGCCACAACUGUCCUGUCCAGAAGAGCUGGCUUUGGUUUUAAAGCCUGCUUCCUGGCUGGGCUUCAUCACUCCAUUAAGGAUACCACUUGGUAUCACAUGAACUUCAGGUGUUGUUGAUGAAAUUGCUAAAGGAGCUGGAUGGGACUGACGUCUUUGGAGAGGACAUGACUUAGCGUACCCAUGCAGUUGUUGUGUCCAAAUGCUGUUCUUUCCUCCCCAUGGGAAGGUAUUGUAAAUAAAGAGAAAGGGCACUAGCUUAUUUUAAACACCAAAUAUGAGCUGGGAGCUGUCCUAGGCACUAUAUAAAAACCGUAUUUUGUUCUCAUAGUAUAUUGUCCUGAUGUUAGAAUCCCAUUUUAUAGACUGAGGAAAUUAUGGCUCAGAGAAAUUAGGAGACUGAAACAAGGACACAGCUCUACAGUUUUUUUGUUGAGCUUGAAUCUGAACACAGACCUGUGUGACUUUCAAUCUUGUGCUUUUUAAACUAUAGGAAUAGUUGGCCAGCCCAGUGGCUCAGGCGGUUAGAGCUCCAUGCUCCUAACUCCGAAGGCUCCCGGUUCAAUUCCCACAUGGGCCAGUGUGCUCUCAAUCACAAGGU
Molecule: long non-coding RNA, 803 nt
Organism: Rhinolophus ferrumequinum (greater horseshoe bat)
Lineage: Eukaryota; Metazoa; Chordata; Mammalia; Chiroptera; Rhinolophidae
Exons: 3
Source: RefSeq, a predicted model, not a curated record